CGGGGCGGCCCCGAGCCGCCUGCAGCGGCGCCGCGCCGGGCGCCCUCGGCCUUCCCGUCCCGCUCUCCGGCCUCAGCGCCUCCCCGGGGCCGUGCGGGAGUCUCGGGGGCUCCGGGUCGCUUGUGCUGAACUCGGGAGAUCAUCGUGUGCCAAGCACAGGCACCGCUGUGUGCUUGCGAGGGAGCGUGAGGCGCCCCCGGCGAGGAGCCCAGCCCGCCGAUGCGGGCAGCACGGGAGGAUGCAGGCGACGGGAGGAGCUGUCGCGCAGGAUGUUCCCCGUUGUGCACGGACUGACGUGUGCAGCACAUGAUGUCUUCAGAAGAGGACUUUCCAGAGGAUGCCAGCUUUUCCUCCGGCAUCAGCACCAGCCGGCUGCAGCAGGAAAUGCCGCCAGAUGCCUCCAAAGACCUGCGGUGCUCCAUCUGCCUCAACACACUUGACGACACCGCCUACAUCACCGUCUGCAUGCACCGGUUCUGCUUCAGCUGUAUCUGGCAGAUAUGCAGGCGACGGGAGGAGCUGUCGGGUGAGUGCCCCCCAGCAGCGAGGGAGCAAAGCUAAAGCCCGAGGUGGCACGGGGGGGCCUGAGCAGCCUGCUCCCAGGGCCUCGGCUGUGCCUGCGGUGUGCGCAGCAGGGGGUCCCCCAGCGGUGCCUUCCUCCUUCUGGAGGCAUGGUGGCCCUGGGAGCAUCUGCAAAGCCCCAGGUCCAAGGUGGUUGGAGGGGGGCUGUUUCUGGGGCUGUGCAAUGGGUGCAGGUGCUGCGCUGCAGAGGCAGCAGCUGGCGCAUGCUCCACCCACAGGAAAGGCCCGUGCGCUCAAAGAAGCAGGAGCGCAGUUACAGCUGAGCUCCGGGGUGGGCCAGCCUCAGGGACAUCCCCUCUGCUGUCCCUCUGCCCGGAGAUGCUUUGGCAAACCACAGGAUCACCGAAUCACCAAAGAAUGGUUGGGGUUGGAAGGGACCUCCGGAGAGCCUCUAGUCCAGCCUCCCUGCUCAAGCAGGGUCCCCUAGAGCAGCUUAGUCAGCACCCUGUCCAGGUGCCUUUGCAAUAGCUCCAAGGAUGGAGCCUCCACAACGUCUCUGGGCAACCUCUUGCAGUGCUCUGGCACCCUCACACGAGGAAAGUUGUU
This is a long non-coding RNA of Dromaius novaehollandiae (emu), 1128 nucleotides long. RefSeq lists it as uncharacterized. NCBI's taxonomy places the organism in Eukaryota, Metazoa, Chordata, Aves, Casuariiformes, Dromaiidae. The transcript has 3 exons. The record is from RefSeq and is a predicted model, not a curated record.